GGGGUGUAGAAAAGAGGGAAAGCAUUAUUGUAAUAAUCUUGAUUGUAUUUGGAAGAAAAGAAAAUGAAAAUGUAAAUUGUAAAAGCAUGUGAUGUGAAUGCUUGUAAUAGCUUAGUUGUUUAUGUUUUUGAUACUUCCUUAUGCAAUCUCUGCUUGAAUACUGUUCCUGAUUGGAACCUCGUGAAUUGUAUUGAUUGCGACGCUUAGGACGUACAGGAAAAACUCUGUCCGUUCGGCAGUCUGUUAGCGGGCCUGAAUCCGACCAAAUAGG
This 271-nucleotide long non-coding RNA is filed under the name Ananas comosus (pineapple). RNAcentral describes it as "long non-coding RNA (ACOM_LNC023229)". Lineage: Eukaryota; Viridiplantae; Streptophyta; Magnoliopsida; Poales; Bromeliaceae. The record is from RNAcentral.